GUGGAAUGACACAGCGUUUGUAGGGACCUCAGGCGGGUGGAAUGACACAGUGUUUGUAGGGACCUCAGGCAGGUGGAAUGACAUAGUGUUUGUAGGGACCUCAGGCAGGCGGAAUGACACAGUGUAGGGACCUCAGGCGGGUGGAAUGACACAGUGUAGGGACCUCACGCAGGUGGAAUGACACAGUGUUUGUAGGGACCUCAGUCGGGUGGAAUGACAGUGUUUGUAGGGACCUCAGGCGGGUGGAAUGACAGUGUUUGUAGGGACCUCACGCAGGUGGAAUGACACAACGUUUGUAGGGACCUCAGGCGGGUGGAAUGACACAGCGUUUGUAGGGACCUCAGGUGGGUGGAAUGACACAGUGUAGGGACCUCAGGUGGGUGGAAUGACACAGUGUAGGGACCUCACGUGGGUGGAAUGACACAGUGUAGGGACCUCAGGCGGGUGGAAUGACACAGUGUUUGUAGGGACCUCACACGGGUGGAAUGACACAGUGUUUGCAGGGACCUCACGUGGGUGGAAUGACACAGUGUAGGGACCUCAGGCGGGUGGAAUGACACAGUGUAGGGACCUCAGUCGGGUGGAAUGACAGUGUUUGUAGGGACCUCAGUCGGGUGGAAUGACAGUGUUUGUAGGGACCUCAGGCGGGUGGAAUGACAGUGUUUGUAGGGACCUCACACGGAUGGAAUGACACAGUGUUUGUAGGGACCUCAGGCGGGUGGAAUGACACAGUGUUUGUAGGGACCUCAGGCGGGUGGAAUGACAGUGUUUGUAGGGACCUCACGUGGGUGGAAUGACACAGUGUAGGGACCUCAGGCGGGUGGAAUGACACAGUGUAGGGACCUCAUGUGGGUGGAAUGACAGUGUAGGGACCUCAGGCGGGUGGAAUGACACAGUGUAGGGACCUCACGUGGGUGGAAUGACACAGUAUAGGGACCUCAGGCGGGUGGAAUGACACAGUGUAGGGACCUCACGUGGGUGGAAUGACACAGUGUAGGGACCUCAGGCGGGUGGAAUGACACAGUGUUUGUAGGGACCUCACACGGGUGGAAUGACACAGUGUUUGCAGGGACCUCACGUGGGUGGAAUGACACAGUGUAGGGACCUCAGGCGGGUGGAAUGACACAGUGUUUGUAGGGACCUCACACGGGUGGAAUGACACAGUGUUUGCAGGGACCUCACGUGGGUGGAAUGACACAGUGUAGGGACCUCAGGCGGGUGGGAUGACGCAGUGUAGGGACCUCAGGCGGGUGGAAUGACACAGUGUUUGUAGGGACCUCACACGGGUGGAAUGACACAGUGUUUGUAGGGUCCUCAGGCGGGUGGAAUGACACAGUGUUUGUAGGGACCUCAGUCGGGUGGGAUGACACAGUGUAGGGACCUCAGGCGGGUGGAAUGACACAGUGUUUGUAGGGAUCUCACACGGGUGGAAUGACAGUGUUUGUAGGGACCUCACGCGGGUGGAAUUACACAGUGUAGGGACCUCACGUGGGUGGAAUGACACAGUGUUUGUAGGGACCUGACGUGGGUGGAAUGACACAGUAUAGGGACCUCACGC
This 1558-nucleotide long non-coding RNA is filed under the name Homo sapiens (human). RNAcentral's name for it is "non-protein coding lnc-JAKMIP3-5:1". Lineage: Eukaryota; Metazoa; Chordata; Mammalia; Primates; Hominidae. The record is from RNAcentral.